This 3364-nucleotide long non-coding RNA is filed under the name Equus caballus (horse). RNAcentral describes it as "lncRNA (ENSECAG00000060195.1)". The record is from RNAcentral. Lineage: Eukaryota; Metazoa; Chordata; Mammalia; Perissodactyla; Equidae.
UCAGACUGCAUUUCCCAUUUUACUGGUUUUGCUUUCUGAUGUCACCUUUGAAUUUCACGAAGUUUUUAAGGGGAUGCAUGCUGAGAUUUUUUUUUUUUUGUGGCCUGUUAACUGUCUCCAAAAUUUGGCCCAUCAUUUUUCCGAAGGCAUUUCUAGUAGAACUUCAGUAUUCUGUGAUGUCUUGAAUCAUAAGCUGUGUAAUAUGAGAAUCAGAUAAAUUUAGACUGUGUAACUCUUUCUGGCUUUCAUAUCGGAUGGGAUAAGUUCAUGAGCUGUGUGUGUAAAAAAACGUAGACAUCUCGGAUUUGAUCUUGAGUUAUUCCUUGGGUAUAACCAAGAUACUGAAAGGCAUAUUAACUUUUCCAGGUCACAAGGGUUUUCUUUAGAAUGCUGGACUAUAAAUAGUUCCCUAGUGGUGGACUGAAAAUGAUGUUUCAUUCUCUUUCCCUCAUUCCGGAGAGCUUGGGGUACCAGAGAAUCACCCUGACUUGCAAGUGUCGGGCUCAGUGUAUGCCAGUAUUGUUUAUAAGGUCCAGUUUUGGAUUAACCUUUUGUGAUGAAAAAAAGUCAACAAGGAUGUCUUUGUGAACGUUUUGUUUCUUAGGGAAAAUUAUUUUACAUGGAAUUUACCUGGAGCGCCACAUAAAAAUUCUAAGCACAGAACAUCUAGCGCAGUGUAAAAAUUUAUCUCCCUUGAAUUGCUUAAAUGUCAUCGUGUUUCAUAGAAAAUAGGAAAUACCUCAUUUUGCAACUAAUCUUGCCAGAGCUUUUCUGCUGUGGUCUCAUCUAUAACGGUGCCAUCUGCAGAGAAAAGGAGAACUGAGUAAUUACCCAGUGAAUACAAACACUGGCCAGCCACAGAGAUGAUUCAGAAAGACUUUAUUUUGUUUUGUGAUCUUGCAGAGCGAGAUUAUCUGUCCAAAAAAUCUGAGAAACUACCUAUACCAUUUCCGAUUGACUGUCUGAACUACUUCUGUGCAAUCCGCUGCACAGGCCUUGCUGGGCUGGAGUGGAUUUGCUGGGAUUAUAGGAUCUGCCCCAUGGCUGAACUGGUCAAGUUUUCACUAGAUUCUAAGCUUCUUGAGGGCACAGAUUGCACUGUUUUUAUCUUUGAAUCCGUCAGCCAUCUUGACUGUAGAAAGCAUCCUCUAAAUAGUUAUUGAAUUGAUUUAAACUCAAUUUAUUAUGAGAAUUAUUUCUAGGCCUCCUAAGCAUCUGACAGUGUUUGAAAAAUACGUUCCUUGAUGCUCCUUUUUAUUACACAUGGUUUGGUUCCCCACGGGGAGCCGUGUAUGUUGUGGAAACAUGGGCAUCUAUUUAUGAUAGGAAGUGAUGGAUUGUGACAAGGAGAGUUGCAGCCGAAAUUGGGUAACAUUUGGUAAAUAUGGGUAAAACUGCUGCAGACCUGUGUGGCCUAACAGAAUUCAUACAGACUAAGAGAUUUUGAAAACUGUUUUCACGGCUGUGGUACAUUACACAGUUUGUCUUUCUUGUCUCUUUUGACAGUUUUAUUAUUAAGCAGGCCUGGAAAUCAGGUGAGGAGAUGCUUCUGUGUGUGUGUAAACAGGAGAUAAAUGAAAUUUCAUCCCACUAGGGUAAGUCCUGCUUAGAAAGAUGACAAUAGCUAUUAAAUGGGAGCCUAAUAUGUGUCAGACAGUCUUUACAUACAAUAAUGUAUCUAAUGCAAACAACAAACCUUUGAGUUAACUAUUUCCAUUUUCUAAGACUGAUAAGUUGAUGUUCAGAGAUGUUUAAUAACCUGCUUAAGCUCACAUAGUAAAUGGCAAAGCUGAGAUUCAAACCCCACACGCUCUGACUAGUAAAUUGGUGCUCUUCCCACGUAUCGUGCUUGACACGGGAGGCACCUCCACACGGUGAUUCUUAACCGUGUCAAAACAUCUUCUUCUUUUGGGACACCACUUGUCUGUAAUUAUUACCUGUAGAGUCUUUCUUUGAGGCUCAGGCCAGAUGAAGGCUUUGUUUAUGUAGAGCAAUACAAUAGUCCAACCUCAGCCUCCAGGACUGGCAGCGCUUCCUGGGGAGUCAGAAACUCGACCCACGUGAGUCACCUUGAACAAAAGAAAACAAGCGAAGUAAGAGGGCGUUCAAUGCUUUGUCUACUUAAAAUGCAACUAACUGCGCAAUUUGAAUUCUGAGUAGAAAGAAACAAAUGAAAAUGUUAUUUCACUUUUCAAACUGUGUUGCAUUAAUCUGCUAGAAUUCGCACCUUCGGAGGUCAGGAAGGAGCCCUCUGGCAGAGCUGCAGGGGGAGAAGGCGCCUGGGUUUCAUCAGCUGAUGCAGGAGCCAAGUGCUGUUCUACUCAGAAGCAGGCCAAAUAGAAGGAAGCCCGGUCUGCUGAGAUGGACAUCUGGGCACCUGCGUGUCUCUGUUGUCCCCCGCGCUGGGAGGAGUGUGAACAAAGCAGCCUGGUUUCUGCCCUCAGGAAGCUUAUAGUCUGGAUGUAAAAAGACACAACGAUUUCAUAUUACAGUAUGUGAGAGCUGUCAAAGAGGCAACACGGUCAAGGAAAAUUCAGCAACUCAGAGGGAGAAAACUUGCCUCCAAAAGCCCCUGGAGCCAGCCCGAGGCAGGGUGUGUUCAGAGGGACUGUGGGAAGACGAGACACUGGGGAGGAGAGGGGGACAAGGGCUCCAACGCAGUUUUCAACCAUUUAAAGGUCACGACCCCAGUAGGAGACUGUGCGGCUGUAAUUUGGCUGUUCGUUUGUUAAACAAUGAAGAACACCUGCGCGCUAAAGGCUCCAACUCGACUGGGGAGCGCAGUGGUUGGUGAAACUGGCUUUGGUUGCUUGUGACUUGAGGCAGGUAUCACUGAAGCCCAGCAGCCAGCCACAUCCACUUUCUGUGAAGAGGCUUUCACAGUAAUGAAAAAACGUAUUUUGGGGCCGGCUCCAUGGCUUAGUGGUUAAGUUCAGCAUGCUCUGCUUUGGUGGCCUGGGUUUGUGGGUUUGGUUCCCAGGGGCUGACCUACACCACUCGUCAGCCAUGCUGUGGUGCUAUCCCACCUAUAAAGUGCAGGAAGAUUGGCACAGAUGUUAGCUCAGGGCUAAUCUUCCUCAAGCAAAAGGAGAGGAAGAUUGGCAACAGAUGUUAGCUCAGGGUGAAUCUUCCUCUGCAAAAAAAAAAAUAUAUAUAUAUGUAUAUAUUUUAAUUUAUUUUAUUUUGGUGAAACUAAGAUAACAUAAAAUUAACCAUUUUAAAGUGAACAUUUCAGUGGUAUUUAGUAUAUUCACAACGUUGUGCAAUCAUCACCUCUAUUUAGCUUCUAACAUUUUCAUCAAUCCAGAAGGAAACCCCAUACCUAUUAGGUAAUUCUUCCUCAUUCUCCCUCCCCCUGCCCCUG